GACAGAGGAUGCAAGCGUUAUCCGGAAUCACUGGGCGUAAAGCGCACGUAGGCGGCUUUUUAAGUCAGGGGUGAAAUCCUGGAGCUCAACUCCAGAACUGCCUUUGAUACUGGGAAGCUUGAGUCCGGGAGAGGUGAGUGGAACUCCGAGUGUAGAGGUGAAAUUCGUAGAUAUUCGGAAGAACACCAGUGGCGAAGGCGGCUCACUGGCCCGGUACUGACGCUGAGGUGCGAAAGCGUGGGGAGCAAACAGG
Molecule: ribosomal RNA, 253 nt
Filed under: uncultured bacterium
Lineage: Bacteria
Description: partial 16S ribosomal RNA
Rfam family: Bacterial small subunit ribosomal RNA
Source: RNAcentral